AGUUGGUUAGGUAACGGCUUACCAAGCCAUUGAUCGGUACGGGUUGUGAGAGCAAGAGCCCGGAGAUGGAACCUGAGACAAGGUUCCAGGCCCUACGGGGUGCAGCAGGCGCGAAACCUCCGCAAUGUGAGAAAUCGCGACGGGGGGAUCCCAAGUGCCAUUCUUAACGGGAUGGCUUUUCAUUAGUGUAAAGAGCUUUUGGAAUAAGGGCUGGGCAAGACCGGUGCCAGCCGCCGCGGUAACACCGGCAGCUCUAGUGGUAGCAAUUUUUAUUGGGCCUAAAGCGUCCGUAGCCGGUUUAAUAAGUCUCUGGUGAAAUCCUGCAGCUUAACUGUGGGAAUUGCUGGAGAUACUAUUAGACUUGAGAUCGGGAGAGGUUAGAGGUACUCCCAGGGUAGAGGUGAAAUUCUGUAAUCCUGGGAGAACCGCCUGUUGCGAAGGCGUCUAACUGGAACGAAUCUGACGGUGAGGGACGAAAGUUAGGGGCGCGAACCGGAUUAGAUACCCGGGUAGUCCUAACUGUAAACGAUGCGGACUUGGUGUUGGGGUGGCUUUGAGCUGCUCCAGUGCCGAAGGGAAGCUGUUAAGUCCGCCGCCGGGGAAG
This 604-nucleotide ribosomal RNA is filed under the name uncultured archaeon. RNAcentral describes it as "bacterial SSU rRNA". It matches the Rfam family "Archaeal small subunit ribosomal RNA", at positions 231 to 835 of the family's 1478-position model. The record is from RNAcentral.